AGGACGAACGCUGGCGGCGUGCUUAACACAUGCAAGUCGAGCGGAAAGGCCCUUCGGGGUACUCGAGCGGCGAACGGGUGAGUAACACGUGAGCAACCUGCCCCUGGCUCUGGGAUAGCCUUCGGAAACGGGGAUUAAUACCGGAUAUUCACUGCUUCCUGCAGUGGGGGGUGGUGGAAAGUUUUCGGCUGGGGUGGGCUCGCGGCCUAUCAGCUUGGUUGGGGGGUGACGGCCCACCAAGGCGACGACGGGUAG
Molecule: ribosomal RNA, 255 nt
Filed under: uncultured bacterium
Lineage: Bacteria
Description: partial small subunit ribosomal RNA
Rfam family: Bacterial small subunit ribosomal RNA
Source: RNAcentral